Molecule: RNA transcript, 5529 nt
Organism: Amphiprion ocellaris (clown anemonefish)
Lineage: Eukaryota; Metazoa; Chordata; Actinopteri; Pomacentridae
Gene: gria3b
Gene name: glutamate receptor, ionotropic, AMPA 3b
Exons: 15
Source: RefSeq, a predicted model, not a curated record
UAUCUUUCUUUUCUUAGUUGCAAAAAAAUGCUCUGCAGCUGGGUUGCACCUCAAUGAAUGAAUCGGUGCACUGUGAGCGACCAUCAUCUCUCCUCUGGAUUUCCAUUGCACCCGGCUUCCAUCCAGAACAUAUGAAUCUGCUCAGACAGAGCCCUUUGAGGAGUUGAACAGAUAGGUCGGUGAAAAUGGCACAACGCGUGGUUUUCUUUCUCCUGUGGCUCUUUGACCGCUCAUUCGCAGGAUUUCCCAACCAGAUUAAUAUCGGGGGACUGUUCAUGCGUUCCACGGUGCAGGAGCACAGCGCGUUCAGGUUCGCCGUCCAACUCUACAACACCAACCAAAACACCACUGAAAAGCCUUUCCACCUCAACUACAAUGUCGACAACCUCGAGUCGUCCAACAGCUUCUCGGUCACCCAUGCAUUUUGCUCUCAGUUUUCCCGCGGGGUGUACGCCAUCUUCGGAUUCUACGACAAGAAGUCCAUGAACACCUUGACCUCGUUCUGCGGCGCUCUGCACACCUCCUUUGUCACACCCAGUUACCCCACCGAUAAUGAGGUGCAGUUUGUCAUCCAGAUGCGGCCCGCCCUCCGGGGUGCUGUCCUCAGCCUGCUCUCCCACUACAAAUGGCAGAAGUUUGUCUACCUCUACGACACCGACCGAGGUUUCUCUAUACUGCAGGCCAUUAUGGAGGCAGCAGUAGCUAACAACUGGCAGGUGACCGCUCGCUCUGUUAGCAGCACAACAGACGCCGCAGAGUUCAAGCGCAUCAUUGAGGAGAUGGACAGGAGGCAGGAGAAGCGCUACGUGAUUGACUGCGAGGUGGACAGGAUCAACACUAUAUUAGAACAGGUUGUGACCCUGGGGAAGAACAGUCGUGGUUACCACUACAUUCUGGCCAAUCUGGGAUUUUCCAAUGUGAGCCUGGACAAAGUCUUCGCUGGGGGAGCCAACAUUUCAGGGUUUCAGAUAGUCAACCCUGAGAACCCGAUUGUGCAGCAGUUUAUGCAGCGCUGGGAGCGACUAGAUGAAAGAGAAUUCCCAGAAGCCCGAAACGCUCCUCUGAAGUACACUUCAGCUCUGACCCACGACGCCAUCCUGGUGAUUGCAGAGGCCUUCAGGUACCUGCGGCGCCAACGUGUGGAUGUCUCUCGCCGAGGCAGCGCUGGAGACUGUCUCGCCAAUCCCGCCGUACCUUGGAGCCAAGGCAUCGACAUCGAGAGAGCUCUCAAAACGGUCCAAGUGCUGGGCAUGACUGGGAACAUCCAGUUUGACAACUACGGCCGCAGGACCAAUUACACCAUAGAUGUUUAUGAGAUGAAAACAGGUGGGCCGAGGAAGAUUGGGUACUGGAACGAGUACUCGCGAUUUGUAAAUAUUAUGGACCCGCAGGUCUCCAACGACUCCUCAGUGGAAAACCGAACGAUUGUGGUCACUACUAUUAUGGAAGCUCCUUAUGUGAUGUACAAGAAAAAUUAUAUGCAUCUGGAGGGGAAUGACAGAUAUGAAGGCUACUGCGUCGAUUUAGCAUCUGAGAUUGCCAAACAUGUUGGAAUUAAGUACAAACUGUCUAUAGUAAUGGAUGGAAAGUACGGAGCCCGAGACCCUGAGACCAAGACGUGGAACGGGAUGGUGGGUGAACUGGUCUAUGGGAGAGCAGAUAUAGCCGUUGCACCUCUCACCAUUACUCUGGUUCGAGAGGAGGUGAUAGACUUUUCCAAGCCGUUUAUGAGCUUGGGCAUCUCCAUUAUGAUAAAGAAGCCACAAAAGUCCAAGCCUGGUGUUUUCUCCUUCCUGGACCCACUGGCCUAUGAAAUCUGGAUGUGUAUAGUGUUUGCCUAUAUUGGGGUGAGCGUGGUCCUGUUCCUGGUCAGUCGGUUCAGUCCUUAUGAGUGGAACCUCGAGGAACAGGAUGAGACCAAAGACCCCCAGACUCCCCCUGAUCCUCCCAAUGACUUUGGCAUCUUCAAUUCCCUCUGGUUCUCUCUGGGCGCCUUCAUGCAGCAGGGCUGUGACAUCUCCCCCAGGUCUUUGUCAGGCCGAAUCGUCGGUGGUGUGUGGUGGUUCUUCACCCUCAUCAUCAUCUCCUCCUACACAGCCAACCUGGCUGCCUUCCUGACUGUGGAAAGAAUGGUCUCUCCUAUAGAAAGUGCCGAAGAUCUGGCCAAGCAGACAGAGAUAGCAUACGGCACGCUGGACUCAGGCUCCACAAAAGAGUUCUUUAGGCGAUCCAAAAUAGCAGUGUAUGAGAAGAUGUGGUCAUACAUGAAAUCCGCUGAACCCUCAGUGUUUGUUAAGACCACACCCGAUGGCGUAGCCCGGGUACGAAAGUCAAAGGGCAAGUUUGCCUUUCUCCUCGAGUCCACCAUGAACGAGUACAUCGAGCAGCGGAAGCCGUGCGACACCAUGAAAGUGGGAGGGAACCUCGACUCGAAAGGCUACGGUGUGGCGACGCCCAAAGGCUCAGCAUUAAGAAAUGCUGUUAACCUGGCAGUUUUAAAACUGAAUGAGCAAGGCCUCUUGGACAAAUUGAAAAACAAAUGGUGGUACGACAAGGGAGAGUGCGGCAGCGGGGGAGGUGACUCCAAGGUCAGCCUCGAUGUCACCACAAUCGGGUACCAUAGUGCAGAGUAAUCGGCAAGGCUGUUACGACAACCCAACCAUAACCAAACCAACUGUCCACCCCAACCAACCUGCUGCUGCCCCGAGGCAGAUUACCAAAUUUAUUAAAUGUUUGACCAGAGGGUUUAACAGCUCAGAUCAAACUACGGAGCUCUUGCUUAUCCAACAAGAAAGAAAAUACUCGUAGAAAUUAAUGGACACAAAAACGGUACAAAUGAGAGUCAGGAUAGAAGUUUUCUUUCUGUUUGAUAAUGUCUCAAUAAAACAUACCAGCUAAAUUUGUCUGCCCUGCAGCUGUGAGAGGUUGAGCUGCUUACAGACACUUACACAUGUGCAGGGCAGAUCACGUAGAUAUUAAGGUUUUAUCAAGCUAGCCAAUGAAAUCUCACAGGUGUAAUUCAAAAAGAGACUUUGCCGGUGACAUUGUACUGAAAAGGCCAAAACCUCCAGACUUCUAUUAUGAAGGUGAGGUUUGCUAAUCCUUUAAAAUAUGGCUUUGCAGUACUUCACCGCACAGCUGCCUGACAUCCAUGACACUGGCCCAGAACCUAUGAGCUUAAAAGCCAAUUCUACUUAAUGGCAAAAAACCUCAAAAUAGCUGCUCAGCCGAGGCCGACAGGAAAGCAAGGGGAACAGCGGCGUCUUGAGGGGACUAAGCAUUGCAGGCAAACGUGAGAAUUCUAAUUAAACAAAGACCUGUGGUUUUCUUUUUGAAUGUGUGAUCUGAUAAACCACCUGUGGUUUGAUUUACUACAUGCAAUUCCUUCCUCAGUUCAACAAUUACUAACCCAGCUGUGACCCUCCUGACCAUCAGAUCUUUCCAUCCUUUUUUGUGCUCAAAUGAUGAAUGAUUUUUCCAUUAUGGCAGCUAAUGGUGCAAAGUGUGAAACCCCACUCAACCAUGACAACUUGGUGUAAUGCUGCUUAGAUUAUGUGCCAUUAAGCAUUGUGCUAUUUUCACAAAAUUACAUAUGAGGCAGUAGCAAUACAUUCUUUACAAUGCGGGUCAAUUUAAUGACAAAUGAUGCUGUCAGCACACAUGUGAUGAUGUGUGUCAGGUAAUUGGCUACAUUCCAGACAAUCUGCAAGGUCCCGUUGACUGCAGAUUGUGUCAUUACUCUCAUGGUUUGGACCACAAUGAACAGUUAAACAUUCCCACCGGAGGCUGCAUGUGGCACAUAUCAAAUAAAGUAUUGAUAAAUGCUGGGGUGUCAUUGCUGAAGAGAAUUUUUAGCUGUUCAAAGUACACAUUUUUCAAUGUAUUCUUAACAUUGCUAUGUUGUGAAGUCACAGGUCUCCCUGUGCUGCUCAGAGCAUUUGAAAGCAUCUGUCUCCUGUGCUGCCAUCGAUCUAAUAUCACGCACAGGUAUGUACUGUCUGUCUGUUUCCUGGCUUGUUUUGGCUCUCCAGGACUCAGUGGAAAGGCCCGAUUAGGUGGAAUAAAGUGCCCUGGAGCGCAGUGUUCCAAACAGUGAAUCGCUUGGCACAGUCCUCCUCACAACUCCAUGAUCCAAUGACAUCAGGAGAUGCGCGUAAUCAUGCGCGCAGCUGCAUGCACAUCCGCUCACACACAGUUCACACCGCUCUUUGUUGCCCUCGGGCACAACACAGUGCAGCCUAGAUUGAGUUUCAGACAGAGAGCAUGUUACAGGGUAAUUGCAUUGUUAAUCAAUGUCUCUCCAAGCCAAGACAAUGGUCUGGUCUUCCCAGUCCGCCUCUCCAGAUUGACUAUGAGGAAUAUACAGUGGUGUAAUCUUCUAUCAGUGUAUUAUGCAUUGCAUGGAUCCCCUAGGGGGACAUUGUUCCCAGGGAGUAGUCGGGUCACUCAUUUAUUGAUACACUAUUUUUCUUUGCUUCCAAUUUGCUUUUCGCUUUGACAGAGAUUGACCUAAACCACAAAUGAUCCACUCUUAUAUUACCACUACCAAAUGUGAUCUUCGUCUAGCUUUGCAAUUGUUUCUUGCCUGAAGUAAUUUAGCGCAAUAGAAAAUUAUGCUAAUUUAUGUUGACAUACAAUAUUAUACGUCAUGAUAUAACUUCUAGAGAUAUCAAACAGCAAGAGAGAGCUGUGUCAAAUAUUAGAUUAUGCAGCUACAGGCAAAUGUGAGAUGAAUUAUUCCGCUGAUACUUUUGAGCUUAGUCCUGCAGCUCUGUGCAGUUUGGUUGGGACACAAUCAUCAGACACUAAUCUGGCAUAAUUGGAAGAUAAGGUUCUCUUAGCGAUAUGUCAGGAUAGAAUGUGUAAGAAUUAAUUAAGCUUUCACUUUUGGGCAUAGUUACUUGAAUCUGAAAUUGGUUGUAAUACCUCCAGAAUUGACUAUUGUCAUUGUAGUGACAGCAGUUUGAGUUGUCACAGGACUAAACUAACACUGUAGAGGGAAAGGAAGAGUUUCCUGUUUGUUAAGACAAAGCUCCUAUUGGAAUGAAUUUGUUAAAUGCUGUACAGAAACCCUCUGUGACUACCUGCCCCCCAAACCAAUACACCUUGAUGCUUUUGGCCUUCAUAGACUUGCAGAUCGUACUUUCAGUACCUGCGUGUCGCCCUGUUAACAGCGUCUGCCGAUUACUCAAAGCGAUACGGGUAGGUCCUGGCUUUAGACUAGGGGUUAUGAAGGUAAUAGGUAGAAUGCCUGCUCUUUGUGAUGUUGACACAGCCAGGUGCCCUGCUUUAUCGCUUUGUAAAGUAUGUAGUAGUUUAAAAGUUGAAUAACAUAAAAUAACAUAAUAUAAUGUUAUUUAUGUUAUUUCCCACGUGAAGAACUCCUGUAAACCUUGCAGUAUUGAAACUCAGUGAACAAGGCAUCUUAGACAAGCUGAAAAACAAAUGGUGGUACGAUAAGGGUGAAUGUGGAACCAAGGACUCUGGAAGUAAGGACAAGACAAGUGCUCUCAGCCUAAGCAAUGUGGC